UACGUGGGGUGCGAGCGUUGUCCGGAAUUAUUGGGCGUAAAGGGCUCGUAGGCGGUCUGUCACGUCGGGCGUGAAAACUCAGGGCUUAACCCUGAGCCUGCUUCCGAUACGGGCAGACUAGAGGUAUGCAGGGGAGAACGGAAUUCCUGGUGUAGCGGUGAAAUGCGCAGAUAUCAGGAGGAACACCGGUGGCGAAGGCGGUUCUCUGGGCAUUACCUGACGCUGAGGAGCGAAAGUGUGGGGAGCGAACAGG
This 253-nucleotide ribosomal RNA is filed under the name uncultured bacterium. Its description in RNAcentral is "partial 16S ribosomal RNA". It matches the Rfam family "Bacterial small subunit ribosomal RNA", at positions 524 to 776 of the family's 1533-position model. The record is from RNAcentral.